CUGGUGAGUAACGCGUGAGGAACCUGCCUUUCGGAGGGGGACAACAGUUGGAAACGACUGCUAAUACCGCAUGACGUAUCGGGAUCGCAUGGUCUUGAUACCAAAGAUUUUAUCGCCGAAAGAUGGCCUCGCGUCUGAUUAGCUAGUUGGUGGGGCAACGGCCUACCAAGGCGACGAUCAGUAGCCGGACUGAGAGGUUGGCCGGCCACAUUGGGACUGAGAUACGGCCCAGACUCCUACGGGAGGCAGCAG
RNAcentral lists this ribosomal RNA (252 nucleotides) under uncultured bacterium. RNAcentral's name for it is "partial 16S ribosomal RNA". It matches the Rfam family "Bacterial small subunit ribosomal RNA", at positions 103 to 354 of the family's 1533-position model. The record is from RNAcentral.